This 760-nucleotide ribosomal RNA is filed under the name uncultured archaeon. Its description in RNAcentral is "bacterial SSU rRNA". It matches the Rfam family "Archaeal small subunit ribosomal RNA", at positions 112 to 879 of the family's 1478-position model. The record is from RNAcentral.
ACUUGUUGGAGGGGGUACCCCGGGAACUGGGGAUAAUACCCCAUAGACUAUGGAUGCUGGAAUGCUCUGUAGUUGAAAGGUCCGCCGCCAUAGGAUGGGUCUGCGGCCGAUUAGGUUGUUGUUGGGGUAACGGCCCAACAAGCCUGUAAUCGGUACGGGUUGUGGGAGCAAGAGCCCGGAGAUGGAUUCUGAGACACGAAUCCAGGCCCUACGGGGCGCAGCAGGCGCGAAAACUUUACAAUGCGGGAAACCGUGAUAAGGGAACUCCGAGUGCCCGUAAAAUCGGGCUGUCCAUCUGUUUAAAUAACAGGUGAAGAAAGGGCCGGGCAAGACCGGUGCCAGCCGCCGCGGUAAUACCGGCGGCUCGAGUGGUGGCCACUAUUACUGGGCUUAAAGCGUUCGUAGCUGGUUUGUUAAGUCUCUGGGGAAAUCUGCCGGCUCAACCGGCAGGCGUUCCAGGGAUACUGGCAGACUAGGGACCGGGAGAGGUGAGGGGUACUCCAGGGGUAGGAGUGAAAUCCUGUAAUCCUUGGGGGACCACCUGUGGCGAAGGCGCCUCACCAGAACGGCUCCGACAGUGAGGGACGAAAGCUGGGGGAGCAAACCGGAUUAGAUACCCGGGUAGUCCCAGCCGUAAACGAUGCGCGUUAGGUGUAUCGGUGACCACGAGUCACCGAGGUGCCGAAGAGAAAUCGUGAAACGUGCCGCCUGGGAAGUACGGUCGCAAGGCUGAAACUUAAAGGAAUUGGCGGGGGAGCAC